Molecule: long non-coding RNA, 352 nt
Filed under: Mytilus galloprovincialis (Mediterranean mussel)
Lineage: Eukaryota; Metazoa; Mollusca; Bivalvia; Mytilida; Mytilidae
Source: RNAcentral
CCAUGAUAUAGAGUCAAAAGCCUUCUCAAAAUCAAUGAGUAAUAAUAUACCAGGGAUAUCAUUUUCUUCUGUAAAUUGUAAAAUAUCAUAUAUAAUUAAAAAAAAAAAGAAGAUAUGGUAUGAUUGCCAAUGAGACAACUGUCCACAAGUGACCAAAAUGACACAGACAUUAACAACUAUAGGUCAUCGUACGGCCUUCAACAAUGAACAAAGCUUAUACCGCAUAGUCAGCUAUAAAAGGCCCCGAUAAGACAAUGUAAAACAAUUCAAACGAGAAAACUAACGGCCUUAUUUAUAUAUAUAAAAAAAAGACAAAAAACAAAUAUGUAACACAUAAACAAACGACAACCAC